This 454-nucleotide ribosomal RNA is filed under the name uncultured bacterium. RNAcentral describes it as "partial 16S ribosomal RNA". It matches the Rfam family "Bacterial small subunit ribosomal RNA", at positions 355 to 825 of the family's 1533-position model. The record is from RNAcentral.
UGGGGAAUAUUGGACAAUGGGGGCAACCCUGAUCCAGCAAUGCCGCGUGUGUGAAGAAGGUCUUCGGAUUGUAAAGCACUUUCGACGGGGACGAUGAUGACGGUACCCGUAGAAGAAGCCCCGGCUAACUUCGUGCCAGCAGCCGCGGUAAUACGAAGGGGGCUAGCGUUGCUCGGAAUGACUGGGCGUAAAGGGCGUGUAGGCGGUUUACACAGUCAGAUGUGAAAUCCCCGGGCUUAACCUGGGAGCUGCAUUUGAUACGUGUAGACUAGAGUGUGAGAGAGGGUUGUGGAAUUCCCAGUGUAGAGGUGAAAUUCGUAGAUAUUGGGAAGAACACCGGUGGCGAAGGCGGCAACCUGGCUCAUGACUGACGCUGAGGCGCGAAAAGCGUGGGGAGCAAACAGGUUAGAUACCCUGGUAGUCCACGCCUGUAAACGAUGUGUGCUAGAUGUUG